Homarus americanus (American lobster) is the source of this 1054-nucleotide long non-coding RNA. RefSeq lists it as uncharacterized. The transcript has 5 exons. The record is from RefSeq and is a predicted model, not a curated record. Lineage: Eukaryota; Metazoa; Arthropoda; Malacostraca; Decapoda; Nephropidae.
UUGGAUUUAUAUUUUAAUUUUCCUCAUUCUGAUAAAUUUUUUGGCGGGAAAAAGACUAGUUAGAGGCGAGUGACAGGUGGCGCUUCAUUGCCACUUGAAACACAGAAGGAGGAGGUGCUGUCGGUCGUCUCUCUGACUUCACCGCCGAUGUUCGUACAAUAUAAUGAUGGAUCCAGUUACUGUUAAAGGCCACUGCUGCAUCAGUGGUCGUCAGCGUGGGUAGUACAGCACCUCCUUAUUCAUUGAGGAUGAUUUGAAGAUGGAGGAUGCAAGAAGUGACCAAGAGUUCCUCUGGAGACCUGACUCUUGCUGCACCAGAAACACAAGUCAGGUUGGGUACAGUACAGGGCAUCUCUCAUUGUGGUUCCUUCACUGAACUCUUAGACAAAUAGGUUCUGGACCUUGUCAAGGAGAGGUGUGCCCUCUGCUGUACCACACAUCUUGCCUCACUUGUAUUGCUGUACCAGGCUUAUCUCCUCCAAUAUCAGGAUGGCAAGUGAUUCACAACACAAAUAAAGCAAGUGCCAAGAUACAGCCCAGACCCAGCCUUCCACCCCUCCUCUCUACCUCAGAAAUGUUUUUCUGAACACUAGUGCCAUGCUGCCCUAGACUGUGCUUACUGGACACUGCCCUGAACUUGCUUGCUGCUGCAGCCCUGGACUCCCCUGUGCUUGCUGCCCUGGACGGCUCUGCUCUGUGCUUGCUGACUGCUGUCCUGGACGGCUCUGCUCUGUGCAUGCUGCUCUCCUGGACGGCUCUGCACUGUGUGUGCCACUCCCCUGGACUGCUCUGCACUGUGUGUGCCGCUCCCCUGGACUGCUCUGCACUGUGUGCUGCUCCCCUGGACUGCUCUGCACUGUGUGCGCUGCUCCCCUGGACUGCUCUGCACUGUGUGUGCUGCUCCCCUGGACUGCUCUGCUCUGUGUGUGCUGCUCCCCUGGACUGCUCUGCUCUGUGUGUGCUGCUCCCCUGGACUGCUUUGCUCUGUGCUUGCUUCCCUGGACUGCAAAUUUAUAGAGCCAUUAAGUUUCCAUUAAUAAAUGUCUAAAUGUCA